RNAcentral lists this long non-coding RNA (259 nucleotides) under Phoenix dactylifera (date palm). Its description in RNAcentral is "long non-coding RNA (PDAC_LNC018715)". Lineage: Eukaryota; Viridiplantae; Streptophyta; Magnoliopsida; Arecales; Arecaceae. The record is from RNAcentral.
CAGGUGAAUCAUUGCACCGAUGUCGGCGGUGAGGGCGUCGUACAACCCGAGUUAGCACGCUACCAGGCGAAUUAUUGCAUUGGUAUCGGAGGUAUGGCCGAGAUCAGAGACUUAUCAUAGUCGACUAGACUCUGCUGGGCUAAUUUGCCGUGGAGAGCUGAGAGUCCGUAGGUGACAGGAGCCAUGCGCGUUAAUUGUGGAGUAAGCCGGAGAUCCGCAUUUAUUGUGGAGUAAGCCGGAGAUCCGCAUUUAUUGUGGA